RNAcentral lists this ribosomal RNA (473 nucleotides) under uncultured bacterium. RNAcentral describes it as "bacterial SSU rRNA". It matches the Rfam family "Bacterial small subunit ribosomal RNA", at positions 15 to 518 of the family's 1533-position model. The record is from RNAcentral.
GAUCAUGGCUCAGAACGAACGCUGGCGGCAUGGAUUAGGCGUGCAAGUCGAACGGUGUAGCAAUACACAGUGGCGGAAGGGUGAGGAACACGUGAAUAAUCUGCCCUCAAGUUGGGAAUAACUUUCCGAAAGGAAAGCUAAUACCGAAUGUGGUGUUUUAUCGCAUGAUAGGACAACUAAAGAUUUAUCGCUUGAGGAUGAGUUCGCGUCCCAUUAGCUAGUUGGCGGGUAACGGCCCACCAAGGCAGAGAUGGGUAGCUGGUCUGAGAGGAUGAUCAGCCACACUGGGACUGAGACACUGCCCAGACUCCUACGGGAGGCUGCAGUCGAGAAUCUUUUGCAAUGCGCGAAAGCGUGACAAAGCAAUGCCGCGUGCCGGAUGAAGGUCUUCGGAUUGUAAACGGCUGUCACUCGGGACGAAAAAUGACGGUACCGAGGGAGGAAGCCACGGCUAACUACGUGCCAGCCGCGGC